AAAUGAAAUGCCCAGCCUGCCCUGCUAAAGCUGCAGUUUGCAGUGGAUCGUGGGGUGCCAUGGAAGCAACAGCAAUUUCUUCUUCUUUAAAGCUGUUAAUAACAUUUCCUGCAAACAAGAAAGCUCUAAUUACUACUAGGAAGAAGAGAGAUACAAUCCAAUUCUCCGAUCAGUUUCCAAAUUCAAAAUCAAGUACCGGACACUAUCCUUCUCCUACUGGGAUUACAAUUAAUGGAAGAAGAUUAAAAACCAGGUUCAAGAUCUCAGCCAUCAAUGACUAUGGUAUUUCGGCUGCAGCAGAUAUAGCCCAAGUGGAGGUCACCUGGCAAAUUAUUGUUGGAGCUAUAGCUGGUGUAACACCCUUCGUUGUAGCUGGGAUUGAGUUCAGCAAAAGAAUAUUUAACGUUGGUGUCCGGGCCAGCUUGCGCGCACCUCGACUAAUCUCAUGGGCCUUGAAGUUAACGAUCAUGUAAGCCUUCAGUGGCCAUCAUAUGAGCAACCACAGGGCUCGAACCUGAGACCACAAAGCGAGCAAACCUCUUGGUCCCAAGCUCUUACCACUGGACCACCAUCUAGAUGGUUGACAAGGACUAUUUUCGUUGCCCAGGAUGUGGAGGGUUUCUACCGUGGCAGACAUGGAAAAGAUUCUUCUCUGGUUAGUGUGUGUGUGUAUUUCGGUAUUCAUAUGUAUUUUCUUAUUUAUAUACACGAGGAGAGGUGUACUUUUACAUAUGUGAUACUUUUAGUCGAAGAUUGUUUUGAUUAUUUUUUAGUUUAAGUCAAUCAGAGUUUGACGGAGUAAUUUUAUGGAA
RNA transcript from Populus trichocarpa (black cottonwood), 812 nucleotides. RefSeq lists it as uncharacterized. The transcript is spliced from 4 exons. The record is from RefSeq and is a predicted model, not a curated record. NCBI's taxonomy places the organism in Eukaryota, Viridiplantae, Streptophyta, Magnoliopsida, Malpighiales, Salicaceae.